This 450-nucleotide ribosomal RNA is filed under the name uncultured bacterium. RNAcentral describes it as "partial 16S ribosomal RNA". It matches the Rfam family "Bacterial small subunit ribosomal RNA", at positions 33 to 523 of the family's 1533-position model. The record is from RNAcentral.
AACGACGCUGGCGGCAGGUCUUAGGCAUGCAAGUCGAACGGGUGUAGUAAUACACCAGUGGCGAACGAGUGAGUAACGCGUGGGAAUCUGCCCAUCUCUGGGGAAUAACGUUUGGAAACGAACGCUAAUACCGCAUACGCCCGCAAGGGGAAAGAUUUUUCGGAGAUGGAUGAGCCCGCGUUGGAUUAGUUAGUUGGUGGGGUAACGGCCUACUAAGGCGAUGAUCCAUAGCUGGUCUGAGAGGACGAUCAGCCACGCUGGAACUGAGAUACGGUCCAGACUCAUACGGGAGGCAGCAGCUAAGAAUAUUGGGCAAUGGAGGAAACUCUGACCCAGCCAUGCCGCGUGAAUGAAGAAGGCCUUCGGGUUGUAAAGUUCUUUUAGUCGUGACGAUGAUGACGGUAGCGACAGAAAAAGCACCGGCUAACUUCGUGCCAGCCGCCGCCGUAA